This 509-nucleotide small RNA is filed under the name Pongo abelii (Sumatran orangutan). RNAcentral's name for it is "processed transcript". Lineage: Eukaryota; Metazoa; Chordata; Mammalia; Primates; Hominidae. The record is from RNAcentral.
UCAGCACAACAAAUCAGGAGCUGCGGCAGCUCUUCUACCAGUGGAAGUGCAAGAAGUUCCGGGAUCAGCUGUCCCCGAAGCAGGUAGAGAUCCUGAGGGAAAAGCUCUGUGCCAGUGAACUGUUCAAGGGCAAGAAGGCUUCAUAUCCCCAGAGUGUCCCCAUUCCAUUCUGUGGUGACUACAUUGGGCUGCAAGGGAACCCCAAGCUGCAGAAGCUGAAAGGCGGGGAGGAAGGGCCUGUUCUGAUGGCAGAGGCCGUGAAGAAGGUCAAUCGUGGCAAUGGCAAGACUUCUUCUCGGAUUCUCCUCCUGACCAAGGGCCAUGUGAUUCUCACAGACACCAAGAAGUCCCAGGCCAAAAUUGUCAUUGGGCUAGACAAUGUGGCUGGGGUGUCAGUCACCAGCCUCAAGGAUGGGCUCUUUAGCUUGCAUCUGAGUGAGGUAUCAGAGCUGGGUGGGGCAGGCCUUGGACUGGAGAAGGUGGUAUGCAUCCCAGGGCUGGGGCAGGCU